Molecule: non-coding RNA, 197 nt
Organism: Capsicum annuum
Lineage: Eukaryota; Viridiplantae; Streptophyta; Magnoliopsida; Solanales; Solanaceae
Source: Rfam
UUAACUUUCUCGGCCUUUUGGCUAAGAUCAAGUGUAGUAUCUGUUCUUAUCAGUUUAAUAUCUGAUAAUGUGGAUCAUUGGUUCAGACGAUAUUAACUCUAUUUUAUGAUGUGGAAGGUUCAUAAAGGUAGCUUGCUGCCUGGGCCUUCAUGUGUCGCCUAAACGUUGCACUACUGCUUUGGCCUGGUGCACCCCAC